GAUGAACGCUGGCGGCGUGCCUAAUACAUGCAAGUCGAGCGAACGGACGAGAAGCUUGCUUCUCUGAUGUUAGCGGCGGACGGGUGAGUAACACGUGGAUAACCUACCUAUAAGACUGGGAUAACUUCGGGAAACCGGAGCUAAUACCGGAUGAUAUUUUGAACCGCAUGGUUCAAAAGUGAAAGACGGUCUUGCUGUCACUUAUAGAUGGAUCCGCGCUGCAUUAGCUAGUUGGUAAGGUAACGGCUUACCAAGGCAACGAUGCAUAGCCGACCUGAGAGGAUGAUCGGCCACACUGGAACUGAGACACGGUCCAGACUCCUACGGGAGGCAGCAGUAGGGAAUCUUCCGCAAAGGGCGAAAGCCUGACGGAGCAACGCCGCGUGAGUGAUGAAGGUCUUCGGAUCGUAAAACUCUGUUAUUAGGGAAGAACAUAUGUGUAAGUAACUGUGCACAUCUUGACGGUACCUAAUCAGAAAGCCACGGCUAACUACGUG
RNAcentral lists this ribosomal RNA (497 nucleotides) under uncultured bacterium. RNAcentral describes it as "partial 16S ribosomal RNA". It matches the Rfam family "Bacterial small subunit ribosomal RNA", at positions 28 to 507 of the family's 1533-position model. The record is from RNAcentral.